RNAcentral lists this ribosomal RNA (497 nucleotides) under uncultured bacterium. RNAcentral describes it as "partial 16S ribosomal RNA". It matches the Rfam family "Bacterial small subunit ribosomal RNA", at positions 28 to 507 of the family's 1533-position model. The record is from RNAcentral.
GAUGAACGCUGGCGGCGUGCCUAAUACAUGCAAGUCGAGCGAACGGACGAGAAGCUUGCUUCUCUGAUGUUAGCGGCGGACGGGUGAGUAACACGUGGAUAACCUACCUAUAAGACUGGGAUAACUUCGGGAAACCGGAGCUAAUACCGGAUAAUAUUUUGAACCGAAUGGUUCAAAAGUGAAAGACGGUCUUGCUGUCACUUAUAGAUGGAUCCGCGCUGCAUUAGCUAGUUGGUAAGGUAACGGCUUACCAAGGCAACGAUGCAUAGCCGACCUGAGAGGGUGAUCGGACACACUGGAACUGAGACACGGUCCAGACUCCUACGGGAGGCAGCAGUAGGGAAUCUUCCGCGAUGGGCGAAAGCCUGACGUAGCAACGCCGCGUGAGUGAUGAAGGUCUUCGGAUCGUAAAACUCUGUUAUUAGGGAAGAACAUAUGUGUAAGUAACUGUGCACAUCUUGACGGUACCUAAUCAGAAAGCCACGGCUAACUCCGUG